Small nuclear RNA from Struthio camelus australis, 68 nucleotides. Lineage: Eukaryota; Metazoa; Chordata; Aves; Struthioniformes; Struthionidae. The record is from Ensembl.
AUGCUCACUUCAGCAGCAGAUAUACUAAAAUUGGAACAAUACAGAGAUUAGCAUGGCACCUGCACAAG